UCCCGAUUUUCUCGCUCUCUCUAGAGGAGUGGUCCAACUGCGGCGGCGACGGUGAGGUGCGCACACACAAGAAGACACGGCGGCGCGAGGCACGCCGGACAUGGCGACGCGGUAGCUUCGCUCGCCGGAGCAGCGUGCACAAGGACUUGGUCCGGCGCGCUCCUCCGUCGAGCGUAGCUCCGGAGACGCGACCACGUAGCCGAGGCGUUUACGGGCAUUUCGCCGGCGGCUGCCGGCGCACGCUUUGACGGCGACGGCGAGGAACAAGGCACGAAGUCCAGCAGCGGUUGCAUCUUCUUUCCGCGCCGUAACGAGAGACAGCGGCGUUCCGGCCAUGGCGUACACGCACGGCGGUGGCCGUGGCCGUGCGGACCCUAAGGCCGGCAUGCUCAUAAACGCACAGCGGAGCCCAUGAUCUCAAGUGGCGAGGAUGAGCAGCACCAGUGGCGCCAAGGUGAUGUAGUCGUGGAGAGGCAGCAGCUCACCCAGGAGCUUCGCGGUGGCAGC
Molecule: ribosomal RNA, 507 nt
Filed under: Triticum aestivum (bread wheat)
Lineage: Eukaryota; Viridiplantae; Streptophyta; Magnoliopsida; Poales; Poaceae
Description: partial small subunit ribosomal RNA
Source: RNAcentral